GUGCUCCCUUUGGCAGCACAUAUACUAAAAUUGGAACAAUACAGAGAAACUUAGCAUGACCCCUGUGCAAGGAUGACAAAAAGGACUGAAAUCUGGAAAUUGGCACU
Small nuclear RNA from Rhinolophus ferrumequinum (greater horseshoe bat), 107 nucleotides. Lineage: Eukaryota; Metazoa; Chordata; Mammalia; Chiroptera; Rhinolophidae. The record is from Ensembl.